Non-coding RNA from Pelobates cultripes (western spadefoot toad), 245 nucleotides. The record is from the annotation of a GenBank genome assembly. NCBI's taxonomy places the organism in Eukaryota, Metazoa, Chordata, Amphibia, Anura, Pelobatidae.
GUCCAGUCUUUUUUAGUAGCCACUUAGUCACAAACACUGGCCAAAAUUGGCGUUCAAAUUAGUUUUUUGCAUUUUUCACACACAAACAAAUAUUAACACUAACUAUGGCCAGUGUUUGUGACCAAGUGACAUACCCCAUUUGCAAUACCUUGGGUUGUCUACUUUUGCAAAUGGUAUGCCAUCAUGGGGGUAAUUCUCAUUCCUGGGCUACCAUACGGUCUCAAAGGCAACGUAACCAAUCUGGC